GCGCAGCUGAACGGCUCAUCACUGUCCGGGAGCAGCAGGCAAUAGGAGCUGCGGAGAGGGCGAAAGACGCGAGGAAGUUCUCUCAUGGAACCGUCAUCAUUCCUCACACAGCGGAUGGCGGGGAGACUGCAGGACUGCACCCGCUCCUCACGGCGUUCCCCGGGGCGGGCGCUGGCACCGCGCGGCGAGCCGAGAGGCGGCCCCGCCGCUGCCCAUCGCCGCGGCGGCGCCCCGCGGCCGUCCCCCGUCUUCCCGCGGCGAGCGCCGGGCGCGCGUCGCCUCCGGCCGCACCACGCCCCGCCGGCCGGGCAGCCCGCGCGGGUCCCGCCGCGCCUCACGCCGCCACCAUCGCCCUCCUGCCGGCGCUGCGCCGCGUCUCGCCUCAGCCCGGCCCGGCCCGGCCCGCCGCCCCCCGGCCAGGAGCGGCCCGCCCCCGCCGUCCCAUUGGCUGAACCGCGCGCCCCGCGUGAACCAUUGGUCGCCGCUCGGCGUCAAUCACCUGCGGGCCGGAGGGGGAGACCCUCGCGCAACGGGGAGAGCGAAGCAGUGAAGGGAGACGGCGCUCGCAACACCUCCUCUCCCGAGCUCUCCCCCUCACGUCAAUCUCUUUUCUGAUUGGCUACAGUGCGGGGGAGUAGGCGGGGUCGAGUGUUAGGGAUGCCCA
Molecule: long non-coding RNA, 664 nt
Filed under: Gallus gallus (chicken)
Lineage: Eukaryota; Metazoa; Chordata; Aves; Galliformes; Phasianidae
Source: RNAcentral